GACGAACGCUGGCGGCGUGCUUAACACAUGCAAGUCGAACGGGCCUGUCUUCUUUUUUGGGGGUGGGUUGAGUGGCGAACGGGUGAGUAUCACGUGAGUAACCUGCCCUUCGGUCCUGGAUAACCGCUUGAAAGGGCGGCUAAUACGGGGUGGUCCGGUUGGUCCGCAUGGGCUGGUCGGGAUAGAUUCACUGUUUUUGGUGUUUCGGCGGGGGAUGGGCUCGCGGCCUAUCAGCUUGUUGGUGGGGUGAUGGCCUACCAAGGCGGUGACGGGUAGCCGGGCUGAGGGGGUGGGCGGCCACACUGGGACUGAGGUACGGCCCAGACUGCUGCGGGGGGCAGCAGUGGGGGGUAUUGCACAAUGGGCGGAAGCCUGAUGCAGCGACGUCGCGUGAGGGAGGGAGGCCUUCGGGUUGUGAACCUCUGUUUCCGGUGGUGAAGGCCCUGUCCGUGUGGUGGGGUUGACGGUAGCCGGGGAUGAAGCGCCGGCUAACUACGUG
This 499-nucleotide ribosomal RNA is filed under the name uncultured bacterium. Its description in RNAcentral is "partial 16S ribosomal RNA". It matches the Rfam family "Bacterial small subunit ribosomal RNA", at positions 28 to 507 of the family's 1533-position model. The record is from RNAcentral.